UACGUAGGGGGCGAGCGUUGUCCGGAUUUAUUGGGCGUAAAGAGCGUGUAGGCGGCCAGGUAGGUCUGCUGUGAAAACUCGAGGCUCAACCUCGAGACGUCGGCGGAAACCAUCUGGCUAGAGUCCGGAAGAGGAGAGUGGAAUUCCUGGUGUAGCGGUGAAAUGCGCAGAUAUCAGGAGGAACACCGAUGGCGAAGGCAGGUCUCUGGGCCACUACUGACGCUGAGAAGCGAAAGCAUGGGGAGCGAACAGG
Molecule: ribosomal RNA, 253 nt
Filed under: uncultured bacterium
Lineage: Bacteria
Description: partial 16S ribosomal RNA
Rfam family: Bacterial small subunit ribosomal RNA
Source: RNAcentral